RNAcentral lists this long non-coding RNA (741 nucleotides) under Equus asinus (donkey). RNAcentral describes it as "lncRNA (ENSEASG00005035879.1)". The record is from RNAcentral. Lineage: Eukaryota; Metazoa; Chordata; Mammalia; Perissodactyla; Equidae.
GUCUUUACAAGGCUCACCUUCAUGUGAUCUGUGCUCUGAGAAACUCAAUGGAGCAGGGUCCUGUCCUACAACCUGGAGUUGGAGGAAGAGUGACCAUCUACAGUGGAGGAACAACAGCUGUGACCACACACCCCUCAGUGUUAUCAGCAGCAACAGAGGCCUGAGGACAACAGAUGUCAAAGGGCAAGCAAUGAAGCAACAUGUCCCAGAGCACAGAUUUGUUACAAGAUGAAUAAUGUGGUAGAAUAUUAAAAAUUAUUCUACAAAGAUUUUCAAAUUGCUGCAGUUGAAGAUUGACUUAAGCGAAAAGUGACAAAGACAAGGAGAAAAGUGACGGAGACUAAGAUGUGCAUCGAUGGGGUAGACGAAAUUGAUGCCAGGAAUGGUCUGGAAGAGAAGGCAAUCUAAUAUUUCAGCCCACUGGCACACGAAUACAAAAUCAGGAAACUGUUGACGAGUAUUGAGCAGCAACCCAGCAACUUAAAUGUAUAACUGAAAAGAAAAGGCAAAGACAUCUGGAGAGUAGAUUGAAACUGCAUUUGUCAAACGAAUAAGAAAGCAUGUUUAUUGAAAGUGACAUGGACCUCCAACGCUACUUCAUUUCUGUGGUAACACAGAGACUUCCAACAAAGUGAAACAGCACCCGUGACUCCACAGCCUCUUGUACUUAUCCAAGCAAACAAUAAAAAAAGCUUUUCCACAAAGUCUGAUUAUUUACAAUUACGAUAUAAAGCAUCACUG